Molecule: long non-coding RNA, 682 nt
Filed under: Marmota monax (woodchuck)
Lineage: Eukaryota; Metazoa; Chordata; Mammalia; Rodentia; Sciuridae
Source: RNAcentral
CAACUUCUAAGUAUCAUACCAUUUACUUACAAUUCAGUGAGGGGAAUUAUGCAUACCCAUUUAUUGAACAAAUAUUAUUGAGUAUUGAUUACUAUAUGUGCUAGGCCUUUUGUUGGAUGAAGAUACAAUGUUGAUGAAGAUAGACAUGGUCUUUUUCCUCCUGGCUGGUGAGCGGGAUGACAUAAAACUAAUACACAGAUCGGCAAGUAACAGAAAGCAGGUUGUGAUUAGUGCUCUGAGGACAAGAAACAGGGGUGCAUAGGCUUAUAGAAGCUGGGGAGGGGAAAGGACCCUGGAGACAGAGCCUGGAGAGUGAGAUUCUUUCUCAGUAGGGUUGUUAGGAAACAUCUCUGAGAGGUGAGCACAUGAUUAGAUCCAAGCGCGUAAGGGGCUGGCAUGCAAGGGGAGGUCAAGAAAGAAGAAUCAGCUUGGACAGAGGGAAGCAGUUUGGUCCAUUUGAGGUCAUUAAUGUAUGGGUGUGGAGACAACAUGGUUGGAGGCAGUAAUGAUGAUAACAGUAGAGAACACUUGUUUAGUCAUAUUUGUGUGCCAGAUACAUCAAUUUUUAUAGUGCUGGUAAAAAUCCUAUGAAAUUUGUAUUUCUUUUGUUAUUUUUCAGAUGAGGAAACUGAAACCUUGAGGGGCUAAAUAAUUUAUUCAAGAUUUCCUUGCUUGUAUGUGG